GCCUUUGUGGUGUAGUGGUCAGCACGCUCGCCGUGUAUUCGAGAGGUCCGUGGUUCGAUUCCUAACGAGGGCA
Non-coding RNA from Stegodyphus mimosarum, 73 nucleotides. NCBI's taxonomy places the organism in Eukaryota, Metazoa, Arthropoda, Arachnida, Araneae, Eresidae. The record is from Rfam.